CACGUAAGGGGCGAGCGUUGUUCGGAAUUAUUGGGCGUAAAGGGUACGUAGGCGGUUUGGUAAGCCCGGCGUGAAAUCCUGCAGCUUAACUGUAGAGCUGCGCUGGGAACUGCGAAACUUGAGUCAUGGAAGGGGAGUUAGAAUUCCAGGUGUAGGGGUGAAAUCUGUAGAUAUCUGGAAGAAUACCGGUGGCGAAGGCGAACUCCUGGCCAAUGACUGACGCUGAGGUACGAAAGUGCGGGGAGCAAACAGG
This 253-nucleotide ribosomal RNA is filed under the name uncultured bacterium. RNAcentral describes it as "partial 16S ribosomal RNA". It matches the Rfam family "Bacterial small subunit ribosomal RNA", at positions 524 to 776 of the family's 1533-position model. The record is from RNAcentral. RNAcentral also lists the same sequence under 1 other name.